This 253-nucleotide ribosomal RNA is filed under the name uncultured bacterium. Its description in RNAcentral is "partial 16S ribosomal RNA". It matches the Rfam family "Bacterial small subunit ribosomal RNA", at positions 524 to 776 of the family's 1533-position model. The record is from RNAcentral.
UACGUAGGGGGCAAGCGUUGUCCGGAUUUAUUGGGCGUAAAGAGCGUGUAGGCGGCUUUACAGGUCCGUUGUGAAAACUCGAGGCUCAACCUCGAGACGCCGGUGGAAACCGUAAAGCUAGAGUCCGGAAGAGGAGGGUGGAAUUCCUGGUGUAGCGGUGAAAUGCGCAGAUAUCAGGAGGAACACCCGUGGCGAAAGCGGCUCUCUGGGACGGUACUGACGCUGAGACGCGAAAGCGUGGGGAGCAAACAGG